This 255-nucleotide ribosomal RNA is filed under the name uncultured bacterium. RNAcentral's name for it is "partial 16S ribosomal RNA". It matches the Rfam family "Bacterial small subunit ribosomal RNA", at positions 524 to 778 of the family's 1533-position model. The record is from RNAcentral.
UACGAAGGGGGCUAGCGUUGCUCGGAAUUACUGGGCGUAAAGGGCGCGUAGGCGGCCUGUUAAGUCGAACGUGAAAUCCCCGGGCUCAACCCGGGAACUGCGUCCGAUACUGGCAGGCUUGAAUUCGGGAGAGGGAUGCGGAAUUCCAGGUGUAGCGGUGAAAUGCGUAGAUAUCUGGAGGAACACCGGUGGCGAAGGCGGCAUCCUGGACCGAGAUUGACGCUGAGGCGCGAAAGCCAGGGGAGCAAAACGGGG